AACCACAACAAGGAAAAUCCCACUGGGUCCAAGACUCUCAAGAGGGAUCUCAGAAAACUCUUUAAAUCCUUGGGGCUAAAGGUACUGUCAGGCUAUAGAUGUGCAAUCUAGCAUUGUCUAUUAAAGAUAAGGCAGGUGGCCUCAUUAGAAGCAAUCAAAAUUACCAAAGGGGAAAACCACUUCACAGGGAGGGAAGCCCUAACAGCUGGGGCUAUUUGAGACUAAUUGUCUAACUCACCCUUAGGAACAGGAAGCUGAGGCUGAGGGAGGAAGUUGUUUUAACUCACCUCAUAUGUGUUACCAGCCAAAGAACUUCCCACAGUAUAAAGCCAGCAUCUCUGAGAAGCAGCCAGCAGAGAGCUGACUCAUCCAUCCUUUCCCCUCCUCACAUAGCCUAGUGAACGAAGUCUACGAACUGCCCGACUGCAAAGAAGUAGUUAGGCUGCACCUGAGUGCUGAUGACCUGGGUCCCUCCAACCUGGAGGGCGGGAAGAAAUCAGCAGCUGCAGAAACAACUGGAGACUUCAAAGGACUGCAUUUCCCCUGAGGGUUAUCUGGAACAUGCCUCUCAAGACUAAAAUUCCUCCCUUGGAAUGUGGCAUGAUGGAAAGUCAAUGCAAAGAGGCUGACAUGCUCACCUCCUUCAUUGAGCUUUCCCAUAAUUUGCUGACAAGGAGGUUAAAAAUCCAGCCCUUCCCUCACUCAAAGCUUCAAGGCCAUUUUAUCUUUCAGCCAUAAGACAAAGACAAUCAUGUGAAGUAGGACAGACAAGCAUGUCUGUGUUGGCCAGAGUGAGAGUCUAUCUCUUCUGAUUGUCCAAUCUGCUCAUUGAUAAGCCAGUCCUAGGCUAUCAGUCUCUUUCUUCAAUUUAGCAAUGCAUUUUUGAUUGACUUUUGGAAAACACUUAACUAUCUAGAAUACACCCUCCUGAACUCCUCAGAUUU
Molecule: long non-coding RNA, 944 nt
Organism: Bubalus bubalis (water buffalo)
Lineage: Eukaryota; Metazoa; Chordata; Mammalia; Artiodactyla; Bovidae
Exons: 2
Source: RefSeq, a predicted model, not a curated record